RNAcentral lists this ribosomal RNA (301 nucleotides) under uncultured bacterium. RNAcentral's name for it is "partial 16S ribosomal RNA". It matches the Rfam family "Bacterial small subunit ribosomal RNA", at positions 509 to 807 of the family's 1533-position model. The record is from RNAcentral.
CAGCAGCCGCGGUAAUACGUAGGGUGCGAGCGUUAAUCGGAAUUACUGGGCGUAAAGCGUGCGUAGGUGGUGGUUUAAGUCCGUUGUGAAAGCCCUGGGCUCAACCUGGGAAUUGCAGUGGAUACUGGGUCACUAGAGUGUGGUAGAGGAUAGUGGAAUUUCCGGUGUAGCAGCGAAAUGCGUAGAGAUCAGAAGGAACAUCUGUGGCGAAGGCGACUAUCUGGGCCAACACUGACACUGAGGCACGAAAGCGUGGGGAGCAAACAGGAUUAGAUACCCCCGUAGUCCCUGUCUCUUAUAC